This is a long non-coding RNA of Drosophila novamexicana, 630 nucleotides long. RefSeq lists it as uncharacterized. The transcript has 4 exons. The record is from RefSeq and is a predicted model, not a curated record. NCBI's taxonomy places the organism in Eukaryota, Metazoa, Arthropoda, Insecta, Diptera, Drosophilidae.
GUAAAAUUAAAGAUUAAACUUAAUAACAAAGCAAAAUUAAUUAAGUGCAAACAUUUUUCGUGAAUUACAGUACACAAAUGGCACCUAAGACUCUCAACCACACACACUCACAUCUGUGAAAAAACACGUCAUGUAAAGUUAAAAUGACGAAUAGAAAACUAUGAGAAUAACCUCAGCAAUUUGAAGAACGCACAGCGCCGCAGUUGAAAAAUUUAAUUUUUUUUGUUUUCGAUGUCACGCAGGAUAUCACAAGCUCUGCUAGAUUGUGUACGACAGUCACGCAAUGUGUAACAGCGACCCUAGACGCCGGCAAGCAUAUUGAUGAGAUAUGUUUGAGAUAUGUUUUUGCGGUAACAUUUAGACAGACGCGUCUGACCCUGCAAAAGGAAUUCCACAUUGGCCUCAAGCCAAACAAGUUCAAACAACAGGACUUUGCGUUUGUGACUCACUGCUGCAUUCCUUGACAUUAUUGCAUACAUACCAAGGAACUCUGCUGAUGUGUGCCUUAAUGUGUUGCCCUAUUCGGACCAUUUGAAAUUCCACAAUAUGAUACAUACAACAAAUGUUGUAUGAUAAACAAGGGAAAAAGCUGCACAAAAAUUCCCAUAAAGUUGGUUGACUUAGACAUGU